AUACAGAGGGUGCAAGCGUUAUUCGGAAUUACUGGGCGUAAAGCGCGCGCAGGCGGUCUUUUAAGUUGGAUGUGAAAGCCUACGGCUCAACCGUAGAACUGCAUCCAAAACUAUUAGACUAGAGUGUGGGAGAGGAAGAUGGAAUUAGUUGUGUAGGGGUAAAAUCCGUAGAGAUAACUAGGAAUACCAAAAGCGAAGGCAAUCUUCUGGAACACUACUGACGCUGAGGCGCGAAAGCGUGGGGAGCAAACAGGAUUAGAUACCCUUGUAGUCC
RNAcentral lists this ribosomal RNA (274 nucleotides) under uncultured bacterium. RNAcentral's name for it is "partial 16S ribosomal RNA". It matches the Rfam family "Bacterial small subunit ribosomal RNA", at positions 523 to 796 of the family's 1533-position model. The record is from RNAcentral.